AUGAGGAUAUUUCUUGUCACAGCCCUGGUGGUCUGCCUUGUCAGCCAUGGAACCGACAUGGCCACAGCUUCGGCAGCUUGGGAUGACCAAGAUUUCUUCAGAAACUGUCUGCCGUCCCGGUGCAGCAAAGAUGGACCUGAGAUUCGGUUCCCACUCCGGCUUGAUUCCAGCAAUACAUCAUCAUCCUGUGGCGCAACAUGCGCGAAACUAGCAUGCUCAGGUCAAGCCACUAUCAUGUUUCACCCACUUCUUGGCCCAUGCAAUGUCACCGCCAUGAAUUACACCGGUACCGUCCUCAACAUCACCCCCCCUUACCUCCGCGUGCACGAUGAUUCAGAAUCUCAUAUCGACAAGUUCACCACCGGCUCACACUGGCCACCACUGUACUCCACAUUAUAG
Molecule: ribosomal RNA, 399 nt
Filed under: Triticum aestivum (bread wheat)
Lineage: Eukaryota; Viridiplantae; Streptophyta; Magnoliopsida; Poales; Poaceae
Description: partial small subunit ribosomal RNA
Source: RNAcentral